AUGUCCGUGAACUUGUAUGUGUUGAUAUUUUCCUAUUAUGCAUACAAUCGGAAUUUUAUGAAUAUUUGGUUUUGGAUUUAUAUAUCUAUGCAUUGUGGUUUUCUACCCUCGAGAUAGUCGGUUUUCAAAAAUAGAGUUUUCGAGUGAAAAACAGUUUUAAAAGAUUUUCAAAUGGUUUUUAUGGAUGAUCAAAUAGAGUUUAAAAAUAAAGCUUUCGGGUGGAAAUCACUUUUAAAUAGGAUGACUGUUGUAUUGUGCAUCGUAUCAUCCAACACCUAAGGAGUGUUUAGAGGUAUGCAUUAUCUCUAAGGAUCGCUAGUUGUAUGAAAAUGCAUCACAUAAAUUGCUCGUGGAUUGGUAAAUAUAGGUUGUUGUUGUGAUCCUGUUGUUGUUAUCGUUGGGUACGCCAUGCAAAUACAAAGGAGAUUCUGUCUGUGUAGACAGGAAAAUUUUGUAUUUGUGGCGGGUCUGUACGCCACGUGGGCCAGGUUGAGUUCAAAAAAAAAAAGAAACGUUUUCCACAACUCCGGUUUCUAAAAUAGUAUUCAUUAUAAAAAGACUUUUAAAAUCGGCCCCAGAGCGUGGCAUUAAUGCAGUACCGGUACUCGCAACCCGAUUCCUCAAAACCCGAGAGUUGCUCUUUUUGGCACUCUAUAGGGUUCCGGUAUCCCACUUUGGUACCGGUACUCAACACUAAAAAUUUGCGGUUUGCAGAUUUUAAUGUUGGGAACCUUUUCUCACGCCUAAAACACACCAGAGACAGGUCGACACUCAACUUACAACCCCCAAAAUAUCCAGAAUAGUACAAAAUACAAUUCUCGCACUAGAACCUUGCAAUUUGCUAAAGUUCAGUAUAUUACAGAUUCACAAUACAAUAAUUAUCCUAUUUAAAAGUGCUUCCCAUCCAUAAGCUUUAUUUUUUAAACUCUAAUUAUCCAUUGAUAAAAGACCAUUCGAAAAGCCCUUUGAAUACUGUUUCCCACACGGAAACUCAAUAUUUGAAAACCGACUACCUCGAGGGAUAGAAAAUCAGAUAAUAAAAUUUCAAUGAACGAUAUAAUAAAA
RNAcentral lists this long non-coding RNA (1065 nucleotides) under Ananas comosus (pineapple). Its description in RNAcentral is "long non-coding RNA (ACOM_LNC032576)". Lineage: Eukaryota; Viridiplantae; Streptophyta; Magnoliopsida; Poales; Bromeliaceae. The record is from RNAcentral.